This 524-nucleotide ribosomal RNA is filed under the name uncultured bacterium. RNAcentral's name for it is "partial 16S ribosomal RNA". It matches the Rfam family "Bacterial small subunit ribosomal RNA", at positions 28 to 523 of the family's 1533-position model. The record is from RNAcentral.
GACGAACGCUGGCGGCGUGCCUAAUACAUGCAAGUCGAACGAAGCUGUUUUAACUGGUGCUUGCACCGACUUAAACAACUGAGUGGCGAACGGGUGAGUAACACGUGGGUAACCUGCCCCAAAGCGGGGGAUAACAUUUGGAAACAGAUGCUAAUACCGCAUAACCACAGAAACCACAUGGUUUCUGUGUCAAAGAUGGUUUCGGCUAUCACUUUGGGAUGGACCCGCGGCGUAUUAGCUAGUUGGUAAGGUAAUGGCUUACCAAGGCAAUGUAACGUAGCCGAACUGAGGGGUUGAUCGGCAACAUUGGGACUGAGACACGGCCCAAACUCCUACGGGAGGCAGAAGUAGGGAAUCUUCCACAAUGGACGAAAGUCUGAUGGAGCAACGCCGCAUGAGUGAAGAAGGUUUUCGGAUCGUAAAACUCUGUUGUCAGAGAAGAACGUGUGCGAGAGUAACUGCUCGUGCAGUGACGGUAUCUGGCCAGAAAGCCACGGCUAACUACGUGCCAGCCGCCGCGGUAA